AGGGUAUAGACCCGAAACCCGGUGAUCUAGCCAUGGGCAGGUUGAAGGUUGGGUAACACUAACUGGAGGACCGAACCGACUAAUGUUGAAAAAUUAGCGGAUGACCUGUGGCUGGGGGUGAAAGGCCAAUCAAACCGGGAGAUAGCUGGUUCUCCCCGAAAGCUAUUUAGGUAGCGCCUCGUGAAUUCAUCUCCGGGGGUAGAGCACUGUUUCGGCUAGGGGGCCAUCCCGGCUUACCAACCCGAUGCAAACUGCGAAUACCGGAGAAUGUUAUCACGGGAGACACACGGCGGGUGCUAACGUCCGUCGUGAAGAGGGAAACAACCCAGACCGCCAGCUAAGGUCCCAAAGUCAUGGUUAAGUGGGAAACGAUGUGGGAAGGCCCAGACAGCCAGGAUGUUGGCUUAGAAGCAGCCAUCAUUUAAAGAAAGCGUAAUAGCUCACUGGUCGAGUCGGCCUGCGCGGAAGAUGUAACGGGGCUAAACCAUGCACCGAAGCUGCGGCAGCGACACUGUGUGUUGUUGGGUAGGGGAGCGUUCUGUAAGCCUGUGAAGGUGGCCUGUGAGGGUUGCUGGAGGUAUCAGAAGUGCGAAUGCUGACAUAAGUAACGAUAAAGCGGGUGAAAAGCCCGCUCGCCGGAAGACCAAGGGUUCCUGUCCAACGUUAAUCGGGGCAGGGUGAGUCGACCCCUAAGGCGAGGCCGAAAGGCGUAGUCGAUGGGAAACGGGUUAAUAUUCCCGUACUUGGUGUUACUGCGAAGGGGGGACGGAGAAGGCUAUGUUGGCCGGGCGACGGUUGUCCCGGUUUAAGCGUGUAGGCUGGUUUUCCAGGCAAAUCCGGAAAAUCAAGGCUGAGGCGUGAUGACGAGGCACUACGGUGCUGAAGCAACAAAUGCCCUGCUUCCAGGAAAAGCCUCUAAGCAUCAGGUAACAUCAAAUCGUACCCCAAACCGACACAGGUGGUCAGGUAGAGAAUACCAAGGCGCUUGAGAGAACUCGGGUGAAGGAACUAGGCAAAAUGGUGCCGUAACUUCGGGAGAAGGCACGCUGACA
Molecule: ribosomal RNA, 1052 nt
Filed under: Salmonella enterica subsp. enterica serovar Senftenberg
Lineage: Bacteria; Pseudomonadati; Pseudomonadota; Gammaproteobacteria; Enterobacterales; Enterobacteriaceae
Description: partial 23S ribosomal RNA
Rfam family: Bacterial large subunit ribosomal RNA
Source: RNAcentral